This 497-nucleotide ribosomal RNA is filed under the name uncultured bacterium. RNAcentral's name for it is "partial 16S ribosomal RNA". It matches the Rfam family "Bacterial small subunit ribosomal RNA", at positions 28 to 507 of the family's 1533-position model. The record is from RNAcentral.
GAUGAACGCUGGCGGCGUGCCUAAUACAUGCAAGUCGAGCGAACAGACGAGGAGCUUGCUCCUCUGACGUUAGCGGCGGACGGGUGAGUAACACGUGGAUAACCUACCUAUAAGACUGGGAUAACUUCGGGAAACCGGAGCUAAUACCGGAUAAUAUAUUGAACCGCAUGGUUCAAUAGUGAAAGACGGUUUUGCUGUCACUUAUAGAUGGAUCCGCGCCGCAUUAGCUAGUUGGUAAGGUAACGGCUUACCAAGGCAACGAUGCGUAGCCGACCUGAGAGGGUGAUCGGCCACACUGGAACGGAGACACGGUCCAGACUCCUACGGGAGGCAGCAGUAGGGAAUCUUCCGCAAUGGGCGAAAGCCUGACGGAGCAACGCCGCGUGAGUGAUGAAGGUCUUCGGAUCGUAAAACUCUGUUAUUGGGGAAGAACAAAUGUGUAAGUAACUAUGCACGUCUUGACGGUACCUAAUCAGAAAGCCACGGCUAACUACGUG